UACGAAGGGGGCUAGCGUUGUUCGGAUUUACUGGGCGUAAAGCGCGUGUAGGCGGGCUGGAAAGUUGGGGGUGAAAUCCCGAGGCUCAACCUCGGAACUGCCUCCAAAACUUCCAGCCUGGACUCAAGCAGAGGCAAGUGGAAUUGCGAGUGUAGAGGUGAAAUUCGUAGAUAUUCGCAGGACCACCAGUGGCGAAGGCGACUUGCUGGGCUUGUAGUGACGCUGAGACGCGAAAGCGUGGGGAGCAAACAGG
This 253-nucleotide ribosomal RNA is filed under the name uncultured bacterium. RNAcentral's name for it is "partial 16S ribosomal RNA". It matches the Rfam family "Bacterial small subunit ribosomal RNA", at positions 524 to 776 of the family's 1533-position model. The record is from RNAcentral.